GGUUAAGCGACUAAGCGUACACGGUGGAUGCCCUGGCAGUCAGAGGCGAUGAAGGACGUGCUAAUCUGCGAAAAGCGUCGGUAAGGUGAUAUGAACCGUUAUAGCCGGCGAUGUCCGAAUGGGGAAACCCAGUGUGAUUCGUCACACUAUCGUUAACUGAAUACAUAGGUUAACGAGGCGAACCGGGGGAACUGAAACAUCUAAGUACCCCGAGGAAAAGAAAUCAACCGAGAUUCCCCCAGUAGCGGCGAGCGAACGGGGAGCAGCCCAGAGUCUGAAUCAGCUUGUGUGUUAGUGGAACGGUCUGGAAAGUCCGACGGUACAGGGUGAUAGUCCCGUACACCAAAAUGCACAGGCUGUGAACUCGAAGAGUAGGGCGGGACACGUGGUAUCCUGUCUGAAUAUGGGGGGACCAUCCUCCAAGGCUAAAUACUCCUGACUGACCGAUAGUGAACCAGUACCGUGAGGGAAAGGCGAAAAGAACCCCGGCGAGGGGAGUGAAAAAGAACCUGAAACCGUGUACGUACAAGCAGUGGGAGCACCUUCGGGUGUGACUGCGUACCUUUUGUAUAAUGGGUCAGCGACUUAUAUUCUGUAGCAAGGUUAACCGUAUAGGGGAGCCGCAGGGAAACCGAGUCUUAACUGGGCGUUAAGUUGCAGGGUAUAGACCCGAAACCCGGUGAUCUAGCCAUGGGCAGGUUGAAGGUUGGGUAACACUAACUGGAGGACCGAACCGACUAAUGUUGAAAAAUUAGCGGAUGACUUGUGGCUGGGGGUGAAAGGCCAAUCAAACCGGGAGAUAGCUGGUUCUCCCCGAAAGCUAUUUAGGUAGCGCCUCGUGAAUUCAUCUUCGGGGGUAGAGCACUGUUUCGGCUAGGGGGUCAUCCCGACUUACCAACCCGAUGCAAACUACGAAUACCGAAGAAUGUUAUCACGGGAGACACACGGCGGGUGCUAACGUCCGUCGUGAAGAGGGAAACAACCCAGACCGCCAGCUAAGGUCCCAAAGUCAUGGUUAAGUGGGAAACGAUGUGGGAAGGCACAGACAGCCAGGAUGUUGGCUUAGAAGCAGCCAUCAUUUAAAGAAAGCGUAAUAGCUCACUGGUCGAGUCGGCCUGCGCGGAAGAUGUAACGGGGCUAAACCAUGCACCGAAGCUGCGGCAGCGACACUAUGUGUUGUUGGGUAGGGGAGCGUUCUGUAAGCCUGCGAAGGUGACCUGUGAGGGUUGCUGGAGGUAUCAGAAGUGCGAAUGCUGACAUAAGUAACGAUAAAGCGGGUGAAAAGCCCGCUCGCCGGAAGACCAAGGGUUCCUGUCCAACGUUAAUCGGGGCAGGGUGAGUCGACCCCUAAGGCGAGGCCGAAAGGCGUAGUCGAUGGGAAACAGGUUAAUAUUCCUGUACUUGGUGUUACUGCGAAGGGGGGACGGAGAAGGCUAUGUUAGCCGGGCGACGGUUGUCCCGGUUUAAGCAUGUAGGCUGGUUAUCCAGGCAAAUCCGGAUAAUCAAGGCUGAGGUGUGAUGACGAGGCACUACGGUGCUGAAGUAACAAAUGCCCUGCUUCCAGGAAAAGCCUCUAAGCAUCAGGUAACAUCAAAUCGUACCCCAAACCGACACAGGUGGUCAGGUAGAGAAUACCAAGGCGCUUGAGAGAACUCGGGUGAAGGAACUAGGCAAAAUGGUGCCGUAACUUCGGGAGAAGGCACGCUGGUGUGUAGGUGAAGUCCCUGCGGAUGGAGCUGAGACCAGUCGAAGAUACCAGCUGGCUGCAACUGUUUAUUAAAAACACAGCACUGUGCAAACACGAAAGUGGACGUAUACGGUGUGACGCCUGCCCGGUGCCGGAAGGUUAAUUGAUGGGGUUAUCCGUAAGGAGAAGCUCUUGAUCGAAGCCCCGGUAAACGGCGGCCGUAACUAUAACGGUCCUAAGGUAGCGAAAUUCCUUGUCGGGUAAGUUCCGACCUGCACGAAUGGCGUAAUGAUGGCCAGGCUGUCUCCACCCGAGACUCAGUGAAAUUGAACUCGCUGUGAAGAUGCAGUGUACCCGCGGCAAGACGGAAAGACCCCGUGAACCUUUACUAUAGCUUGACACUGAACAUUGAGCCUUGAUGUGUAGGAUAGGUGGGAGGCUUUGAAGCGUGGACGCCAGUCUGCGUGGAGCCAACCUUGAAAUACCACCCUUUAAUGUUUGAUGUUCUAACGUUGGCCCCUUACCGGGGUUGCGGACAGUGUCUGGUGGGUAGUUUGACUGGGGCGGUCUCCUCCCAAAGCGUAACGGAGGAGCACGAAGGUUAGCUAAUCCUGGUCGGACAUCAGGAGGUUAGUGCAAUGGCAUAAGCUAGCUUGACUGCGAGCGUGACGGCGCGAGCAGGUGCGAAAGCAGGUCAUAGUGAUCCGGUGGUUCUGAAUGGAAGGGCCAUCGCUCAACGGAUAAAAGGUACUCCGGGGAUAACAGGCUGAUACCGCCCAAGAGUUCAUAUCGACGGCGGUGUUUGGCACCUCGAUGUCGGCUCAUCACAUCCUGGGGCUGAAGUAGGUCCCAAGGGUAUGGCUGUUCGCCAUUUAAAGUGGUACGCGAGCUGGGUUUAGAACGUCGUGAGACAGUUCGGUCCCUAUCUGCCGUGGGCGCUGGAGAAUUGAGGGGGGCUGCUCCUAGUACGAGAGGACCGGAGUGGACGCAUCACUGGUGUUCGGGUUGUCAUGCCAAUGGCACUGCCCGGUAGCUAAAUGCGGAAGAGAUAAGUGCUGAAAGCAUCUAAGCACGAAACUUGCCCCGAGAUGAGUUCUCCCUGAGACUUUAAGUCUCCUGAAGGAACGUUGAAGACGACGACGUUGAUAGGCCGGGUGUGUAAGCGCAGCGAUGCGUUGAGCUAACCGGUACUAAUGAACCGUGAGGCUUAACCUU
RNAcentral lists this ribosomal RNA (2902 nucleotides) under Klebsiella pneumoniae. RNAcentral's name for it is "23S ribosomal RNA". It matches the Rfam family "Bacterial large subunit ribosomal RNA". The record is from RNAcentral. Lineage: Bacteria; Pseudomonadati; Pseudomonadota; Gammaproteobacteria; Enterobacterales; Enterobacteriaceae. RNAcentral also lists the same sequence under 1 other name.